AUCUCUGUAGCCAUCACUGAGAAAUCUGGAUUUUCAAGGGCCUUUCUCUCUGUUGCCCAGGCUGGAGUUUAGCGACUCAAUCAUGGCUCACUGACUGCAGCCUUGACCUCCGGGGCUCAAGUGAUCCUUUCAUCUCAACCUCCUCAGUAGCUGAGACUACAGACAUGGAUAAAAGAAAUCCCUGUAAAAGGCAGCUUAACUGGAUGUUUCCCUCCAAUGGCAAAGUAACUCUCAAUGGGCCAAGAGAUCUCAUUAUGUUACCCAGGCUGGUCUCAAACUCCUGGGCUCAAGCAAUCCUUCUACCUUGGCCUCUCAAAGUGCUGCAAUUACAGAUGUGAGCCACUGUGCCUGGCCUGAUGUUAAUUUAUAAUGCUUUCCUAUGAAUAAACUGUUAAAACACUUUAGUCAAUGUA
Molecule: small RNA, 413 nt
Filed under: Pan troglodytes (chimpanzee)
Lineage: Eukaryota; Metazoa; Chordata; Mammalia; Primates; Hominidae
Description: processed transcript
Source: RNAcentral